Molecule: ribosomal RNA, 116 nt
Organism: Chelonoidis abingdonii (Abingdon island giant tortoise)
Lineage: Eukaryota; Metazoa; Chordata; Testudines; Testudinidae
Source: Ensembl
CAUUGCAGCUAUUCCACCUCCAACUGUGGUCUUGUCAGCUUUCAUAAGCGCAAUAGGGUUGUGCCUGAUUAGUACUUAGAGGGAAGACCUCCAAGGAAAACUAAGUGCUGGAAGGA